UGCACAUUCUGCGCAUGUAUUCCUUGAACGUAAAGUAUAAUGAAAAAAAUAUGCCAUCACUAAUUUAAUGCCUAUUGUUGAGCAUUGAGGUUGCUUUAAAUUUCCCUUGGUUUUAAAAUCACAUUCAUGAACAUCCUUUAUAUAAAUCCUUGACAAUCUCUGAUUGUUUCUUUAGAAUACAUUGCUUAAGGGUGACUUAUUUCAUUAAUGAGCACUAAAGUUUUAAGGAUAGAAAGAUUGUAUCAAUUUACAUUCUCAUCAGCAGAGAAGGAGAAUGUGCAUUAGAAUGUACCUUUACUUUGAUUUAUUUUUAAUCACUAGUGUAAUAAUUUGUUGAUUUUAAAUAAGCAAUUUUAUUAUUUAAAUCAGCAGAAAAUUGUUGAAUAAAAUACUGGAUAAGAAAUGAAAAGAAAAAUCAUCAAAGUAAGACUAAAAAACAACUAAAUUGUUACCAAAUAUGUAAAUAGUUGGUACUGUGAAACAGUAUUCCCUGAUUGCUUUUCCCAUUUGUUCAACUGUUGCUGGCAGUGAUGACGCAACCUUGCAGGGGCUUCCUUGACGCUCCUGGGAACAGGAACACGUGGCUCCUUGAGAGCAGAACUUUCCUGCUUUGCUCCCUUCUGGAUUCGCAACACUAACAUCAUACUUGACAACUGGUAGGCACUCAGGAAGUGUUUCCAUAAGACCUGGAAGACAAGACAUAAUGUGGGGACACAAAGGCAGAUGAAGACUUAUUGCUCAUUCUUCUUUUUUCCACUUCCUGAAAUAGACAGUCCUUCCCUCCUGAUCCAAACCCGAUUCAUUGUGUCAUAUCUAACUAAAAUGGCACCUUUCCUAAGAGUGCUUGUUCUUUGUGACUCCAGGACGUUCUAUCAGCCAUUGUUGUGGAUACCCUUCCCCACACAUUUUAGAGCUCCAAGUACAGCACAGUGAUGGCAUUUCAUGCUCCUUGGAACCUGUGAGGUGGGUGCCACAUCGUCUUCACUUUUUGGAUGUGAAAGCUGAAGCUCAGAGGUCCUGUCACCAGUCUAUGUGUCAAGGUCAUACACAUCAGUUAGUGAACAGCCAGGGUCUGCAGCCUCACUGUCCAGCUUCGGGGGGCUCCACGCGGAAACUCCCUGCAGUUCUCUGUUCUCCGCGGUAACCUCACUCGUGGAUUCCUUUAAGGCCUAUUCUUUUAUCUUCAACUAAACCAUGAAUCCCUUGAUGACAGCUUUUGUCUUGUACUUUUUUUUACAUCUGGAUAGCCACUUCACAAAAGAAUACCUGCAGGAGUCUAUCAUACGUGCACUGAUUGAGAUGGAUCAUGUGAGGAUAUGUAAAACCAGAGACUCAAAAAAUAGCAAACUGAACAUUUAGAUAAGGAAUCAAGGUGAAGAUGGAUAAACAUGCAAGUUUGAAAGAAAGCAGGAACAAGGCAAUCCAACUUGUAUUUUCUGUAAGCUGGCGGCAGAACAUUUAACUGCCAGCUCCUGACAAGGUUUGGAAAACUCAUCAGUGGGAAAGCAGCCAAAACACUGCUCAAGCAUGGGUGGUCACCAGCAGCAAAGGAGGGAAAGCAAGCCAGAAAGAAAGAAGGAAAGAGAGAGUUUUUAUAUAAGUGCUUUCCCAUGAUGUUCUAGCUAUGUGCUUUACUAAAGCAGUGUAACUGUCACCAUCCUGCUGAAAGCUCAAAUUAAGGUGAUGCAAUGAGGAAGCAUUUCAUAUUAAUAACGGCA
RNAcentral lists this long non-coding RNA (1718 nucleotides) under Homo sapiens (human). Its description in RNAcentral is "HSALNT0400008". Lineage: Eukaryota; Metazoa; Chordata; Mammalia; Primates; Hominidae. The record is from RNAcentral.